Transfer RNA from Camelus ferus (Wild Bactrian camel), 73 nucleotides. It matches the Rfam family "tRNA". Rfam says of the family: Transfer RNA (tRNA) molecules are approximately 80 nucleotides in length. Their secondary structure includes four short double-helical elements and three loops (D, anti-codon, and T loops). NCBI's taxonomy places the organism in Eukaryota, Metazoa, Chordata, Mammalia, Artiodactyla, Camelidae. The record is from Rfam.
GAGGCUAUAGCUUAAGUGCUAGAGCACAUGCUUAGUAUGCACAAGGUCCUGGGUUCAAUCCCCAGUACCUCCU